RNAcentral lists this small nucleolar RNA (133 nucleotides) under Propithecus coquereli (Coquerel's sifaka). Its description in RNAcentral is "Small nucleolar RNA SNORA70 (ENSPCOG00000012518.1)". It matches the Rfam family "Small nucleolar RNA SNORA70". From Rfam's summary of the family: snoRNA U70 seems to be exclusive to mammals and is a member of the H/ACA class of snoRNA which contain H (ANANNA) and ACA box motifs. H/ACA box snoRNAs are involved in the conversion of uridines to pseudouridines (5-ribosyluracil) a constituent of structural RNAs (transfer, ribosomal, small nuclear, and small nucleolar). Lineage: Eukaryota; Metazoa; Chordata; Mammalia; Primates; Indriidae. The record is from Rfam by way of RNAcentral.
AUGCCAAAAAAGGCCAUCCGUGCUCCUUUCCUCAUGAGGGCCCAGUGUGCAAUGGCUGCAAACAGCAGCCUCCUUGGUAGUGUAUGCAGCCUGUUGCUUGUGUGGAUUGCUCUAAGGGACCUUGGAGACAGUC